This 467-nucleotide ribosomal RNA is filed under the name uncultured bacterium. RNAcentral's name for it is "partial 16S ribosomal RNA". It matches the Rfam family "Bacterial small subunit ribosomal RNA", at positions 28 to 507 of the family's 1533-position model. The record is from RNAcentral.
GACGAACGCUGGCGGCGUGCUUAACACAUGCAAGUCGAACGGAAAGGCCUCUUUCGGGGGGUACUCGAGUGGCGAACGGGUGAGUAACACGUGAGUAACCUGCCCUUGACUUUGGGAUAACUUCAGGAAACUGGGGCUAAUACCGGAUAGGAGCUCCUGCUGCAUGGUGGGGGUUGGAAAGUUUCGGCGGGUGGGGAUGGACUCGCGGCUUAUCAGCUUGUUGGUGGGGUAGUGGCUUACCAAGGCUUUGACGGGUAUCCGGCCUGAGAGGGUGACCGGCCACAUUGGGACUGAGAUACGGCCCAGACUCCUACGGGAGGCAGCAGUGGGGAAUAUUGCACAAUGGGUGGAAGCCUGAUGCAGCAACGCCGUGUGCGGGAUGACGGCCUUCGGGUUGUAAACCGCUUUCGCUCAUGACGAAGCUUUGUGUGACGGUAGUGGGUAAAGAAGCACCGGCUAACUACGUG